This is a long non-coding RNA of Populus nigra (black poplar), 676 nucleotides long. RefSeq lists it as uncharacterized. The transcript has 2 exons. The record is from RefSeq and is a predicted model, not a curated record. Lineage: Eukaryota; Viridiplantae; Streptophyta; Magnoliopsida; Malpighiales; Salicaceae.
ACAAAAAGUGAGUUUUUCAUCAGUAAGGUGAAAUUGAAACAUAUGAAGUUGCCCUUCUAUAAAGGUUGGGCAACGACUUGGCCCAAAUUGUUUCUCCUUCCAAUCGAAACUAAUCAAGACGGGCCGAGCCCUGAAAUAUAGUAGAGGCACUCAGCUUGCCGUUGCCUGCCCGGCAUCAAACAAUCCUGUUCUUGUCUUAACAGACGUCAAUUGCUUAGAAACUGAAGCAAAAGACCAUUCUGCUACACGCUAAUCUGGAUACCGACUGUAUAGCCAUGAACUGCAGCAUCCAAUCUCACUCUCCAGUUUGAUUCAAUAAUGAAUUCAGCGCUUUACUUCUGUUUGGGUGUAUUCGUCGCCCCAGCUUUCAUCUCCAUGCACUACGAUGAAUUUAACAAGACAAGCGAGGACACAAGGCCUAAUGACGAUAAUCCCUCAGAUGAAGAUUGGAGCACGGCCACCGACAGCGUGAGCAAAAGGCGGAGAACCGGAGCCCAGCAGGCCACUGGCUUUUAAGUAUCCAGUGUUGCCCUCCUCUAUUUUAUAUUGUCUAUUACUCUACUAGUAUCAUUAUUAGCAUCUUGACUUGAAAGAAAAGAGGUAAAUUAUGGGUCAGAAUUCAACAACGCACAUUGAAAUGAGACAAUCAUUAUAAAGAGGAAGAGUUUUCAACCAA